Molecule: ribosomal RNA, 912 nt
Filed under: Triticum aestivum (bread wheat)
Lineage: Eukaryota; Viridiplantae; Streptophyta; Magnoliopsida; Poales; Poaceae
Description: partial small subunit ribosomal RNA
Source: RNAcentral
AUGGGGAUGAACAACACAAAGGCUUUAUGCUUUGUACUUCUGAUUGCUUUGUCUACCUUGCAGUACUGGCCUUGUCAUGCAUCCGAGGGCCAUAUAGGUGUUGAAGAAGGUGGGAUUAGACAUAUGUGUAGGUACAUGCUUGGCGUGAUCCCCGCUGGUGCCUUGUUCCUUGAGAUUUUUUUUACAUGUGGGAUUCCUUUCUUCAGCCCUGAAUGGAUGACCCUUUUUGGUGUCUUCAAAAAAUCCUGCCCGACCAGACCCAGCAAACGCGUCCGACCCGUAAAUAUUUUUGAGGGGUGCGGCAAAAUCUCAUCCCCAACCUGCAAAUACGCAGUUUUCCGCCUCGCCCCUAUGGUGCCCCGUAUCCCAGGAAAGCAGUUGGUGGGAGAGAUAUUUCUGCCUGCGACCUUUCCCCACCUCCUUCCGCCGCCGCCCGCCAUUGGUUUCGCCCGUCCGCCGCCGACGAUUCCGGCCAAAUCUGCGGGUGCCCCUACCCUCUUCCAUGAGACGCUGCACCAGCUCCCUCGGAUCCGUCGAUCCGAGCCGCCCCUAGUCGCCGUCGCCGCCCGGGAUCGACCGCCCCCGAGCCACCGGAGAGCCACCGCCCCCGAGCAGCCGAUGGAAUUGAGCCCGUGCGAGAAGUUUUUGCUUGACGAUUCGUCCGAUUCGGAUGACUCGGAUGUUGAGACGUUGGUUGUCAACUAUCGGCAGCAGACGUUGGUGAUGGCCCUUGCCGUGAAGGAGCAUAGAGAUGAGAACCGAAAGAGGCGGCGAGGAUCGACCGUCGGCCUUAGAGACCCUAACCGCAUUAGAGCUUUUCUUCGGACCUACAAGGAGAUUGAAAAUGCAAACACGCAGUUUCAGCUUGAGCAGGAUCUCAUUGAGCACCAUUGGCAAAGGGCUGGGCAGUAA